GGAUGAACGCUGGCGGCGUGCCUAAUACAUGCAAGUCGAGCGAACGGACGAGAAGCUUGCUUCUCUGAUGUUAGCGGCGGACGGGUGAGUAACACGUGGAUAACCUACCUAUAAGAUUGGGAUAACUUCGGGAAACCGGAGCUAAUACCGGAUAAUAUUUUGAACCGCAUGGUUCAAAAGUGAAAGACGGUCUUGCUGUCACUUAUAGAUGGAUCCGCGCUGCAUUAGCUAGUUGGUAAGGUAACGGCUUACCAAGGCAACGAUGCAUAGCCGACCUGAGAGGGUGAUCGGCCACACUGGAACUGAGACACGGUCCAGACUCCUACGGGAGGCAGCAGUAGGGAAUCUUCCGCAAUGGGCGAAAGCCUGACGGAGCAACGCCGCGUGAGUGAUGAAGGUCUUCGGAUCGUAAAACUCUGUUAUUAGGGAAGAACAUAUGUGUAAGUAACUGUGCACAUCUUGACGGUACCUAAUCAGAAAGCCACGGCUAACUACGUG
Molecule: ribosomal RNA, 498 nt
Filed under: uncultured bacterium
Lineage: Bacteria
Description: partial 16S ribosomal RNA
Rfam family: Bacterial small subunit ribosomal RNA
Source: RNAcentral